This 253-nucleotide ribosomal RNA is filed under the name uncultured bacterium. RNAcentral's name for it is "partial 16S ribosomal RNA". It matches the Rfam family "Bacterial small subunit ribosomal RNA", at positions 524 to 776 of the family's 1533-position model. The record is from RNAcentral.
UACGUAGGGUGCAAGCGUUGUCCGGAAUUAUUGGGCGUAAAGAGCUCGUAGGCGGGUUGUCGCGUCGGCUGUGAAAACUCGGGGCUCAACCCCGAGCCUGCAGUCGAUACGGGCAAACUAGAGUGUGGUAGGGGAGACUGGAAUUCCUGGUGUAGCGGUGAAAUGCGCAGAUAUCAGGAGGAACACCGGCGGCGAAGGCGGGUCUCUGGGCCAUAACUGACGCUGAGGAGCGAAAGCGUGGGGAGCGAACAGG